GGACGAACGCUGGCGGCGUGCCUACACAUGCAAGUCGAGCGAUGAAGCCCUUCGGGGCUGAUUAGCGGCGGACGGGUGGAGUAACACGUGGGUAACCUGCCUCAUAGAGGGGGAUAGCUCCCGAAAGGGAGAUUAAUACCGCAUAAUGUAUUUUGGCUGCAUGGCCGAAAUAUCAAAGGAGUAAUCCGCUAUGAGAUGGACCCGCGGCGCAUUAGCUAGUUGGUGAGGUAACGGCUCACCAAGGCGACGAUGCGUAGCCGACCUGAGAGGGUGAUCGGCCACAUUGGAACUGAGACACGGUCCAGACUCCUACGGGAGGCAGCAGUGGGGAAUAUUGCGCAAUGGGGGAAACCCUGACGCCAGCAACGCCGCGUGAAUGAUGAAGGCCUUAGGGUUGUAAAGUUCUGUCUUCUGGGACGAUAAUGACGGUACCAGAGGAGGAAGCCACGGCUAACUACGUGCCAGCCGCCGC
RNAcentral lists this ribosomal RNA (472 nucleotides) under uncultured bacterium. RNAcentral describes it as "bacterial SSU rRNA". It matches the Rfam family "Bacterial small subunit ribosomal RNA", at positions 27 to 518 of the family's 1533-position model. The record is from RNAcentral.